RNAcentral lists this long non-coding RNA (684 nucleotides) under Marmota monax (woodchuck). Lineage: Eukaryota; Metazoa; Chordata; Mammalia; Rodentia; Sciuridae. The record is from RNAcentral.
GGGGUGUGUUACAGCAAAAACAUACUCAGUCGAGGGGAAUUAAUUUGCUCUAUUAAACCCAAGUCUCAGUGUAGAGAGAGCAUGUGUUUGCACAUAACACCGGUUUAAUUAGGCUAAAUCAAAAUGCACAUAUUUGCAUUUCUACUCAGGAUUGCUUUAACCCUACUCGGCUUUUUAAACACAUGCCAAAGUUGCACCGAAGUUGUUGCUCUUUUUUCCCCCCCUGAUUUUCACCUGCAACGGGGCUUCUUUAGUCUAUUCGAAUUUAAACAAGUUUUGAAAGUAGCGUUUGUACAGAUAUUUUAGCGAAGAGUGGUCGAACUUGAAGGCUUAAAUUAGUGAGAAAAUUCACGCCGGGAAAAUAAUUUUAAAGUUGGAAGUGUGAAUGAUCAAAUAUGCAUGAGACAAUCGUAUUUUAUUUUGUCCCUUUAAUUAUAAAUGAUUUUUUAAACAAUUGAAUUCCAGAGAUGACUAUCUCCUUCCCGACCACCGCCUCCAGCUCCUCAUCCCUCCCUCCAUGCCUCCCCCCUCCUCCAGCCUGGCUCACAAUCAGUUUUUCACCCCCUGUUGAAUAUGCAGCCCCAGGAGUCACCUUGUCUACUAAAAAGUGGGAAGAAUAGGCCAGUCUCCUUCUCUUAAGGGGGGAGUUUAAGGACGACUUCAACUCGGCGGGGUUUUGGAAGC